UACGUAGGGAGCAAGCGUUGUCCGGAAUCAUUGGGCGUAAAGCGCGCGUAGGUGGCCAUUUAAGUCCGCUGUGAAAGUCAAAGGCUCAACCUUUGAAAGCCGGUGGAUACUGGAUGGCUAGAGUACGGAAGAGGCGAGUGGAAUUCCUGGUGUAGCGGUGGAAUGCGCAGAUAUCAGGAGGAACACCGGUGGCGAAGGCGGAUCUCUGGGCCGAUACUGACGCUGAGGAGCGAAAGCGUGGGGAGCGAACAGG
This 253-nucleotide ribosomal RNA is filed under the name uncultured bacterium. RNAcentral's name for it is "partial 16S ribosomal RNA". It matches the Rfam family "Bacterial small subunit ribosomal RNA", at positions 524 to 776 of the family's 1533-position model. The record is from RNAcentral.